AUUGAACGCUGGCGGCAGGCCUAACACAUGCAAGUAGAACGAGUGGCGGACGGGUGAGUAAUGUCUGGGAAACUGCCUGAUGGAGGGGGAUAACUACUGGAAACGGUAGCUAAUACCGCAUACCAUCGGAUGUGCCCAGAUGGGAUUAGCUAGUAGGUGGGGUAAAGGCUCACCUAGGCGACGAUCCCUAGCUGGUCUGAGAGGAUGACCACCCACAUGGGAACUGAGAAACGGUCAGGACUCCUACGGGAGGCAGCAGUGGGGAAUAUGGCACAAGGGGCGCAAGCCUGAUGCAGCCAUGCCGCGUGUAUGAAGAAGGCCUUCGGGUUGUAAAGUACGUUCAGCGGGGAGGCGUUACCCGAAGAAGAAGCACCGGCUAACUCCGUGCCAGCAGCCGCGGUAAUUC
This 406-nucleotide ribosomal RNA is filed under the name uncultured bacterium. RNAcentral describes it as "partial 16S ribosomal RNA". It matches the Rfam family "Bacterial small subunit ribosomal RNA", at positions 29 to 526 of the family's 1533-position model. The record is from RNAcentral.